This 468-nucleotide ribosomal RNA is filed under the name uncultured bacterium. RNAcentral describes it as "partial 16S ribosomal RNA". It matches the Rfam family "Bacterial small subunit ribosomal RNA", at positions 28 to 507 of the family's 1533-position model. The record is from RNAcentral.
GACGAACGCUGGCGGCGUGCUUAACACAUGCGAGUCGAACGGAAAGGCACUGCGUUUGUGGGGUGCUCGAGUGGCGAACGGGUGAGUAACACGUGAAUAACCUGCCCUUGACUUUGGGAUAACUUCAGGAAACUGGGGCUAAUACCGGAUAGGAGCUCCAGCUGCAUGGUGAGGGUUGGAUAGUUUCGGCGGUUGGGGAUGGACGCGCGGCGUAUCAGCUUGUUGGUGGGGUAGUGGCUUACGAGGGCUUUGACGGGUAGCCGGCCUGAGAGCGUGAACGGGCACAAUGGGACUGAGAGACGGAGCAGUCGGCUACGGGAGGCAGCAGUGGGGAAUAUUACACAAUGAGCGGGAGCCUGAUGCAGCGACGCCGCGUGCGUGAUGACGGCCUUCUGGUUGUGAACCGCGUUCGGCUGUGACGCAGCGUGAGUGACGGUAAUGGGUAAAGAAGCACCGGCUAACUACGUG